CGAGAGCAUUCGCUGUAAAGGACCGCAUAGUGGCUUCUCGACGAGCGUUACAGGUUAUGUCACGUAAUACACGCCCGCGAUGACUUAUCGGUUGAGGCUCGAGGUCGCAACGUCGAACGAGAAUAGGUCAAACACGAACAAUAUGAAUAUUAGAGGAAUCAUUUACGUUAACGAGCACGUAUAACAUAAUAUUCUUUUAACUAACGAAACUACGAUCUGAUAUCUAUUAACGGUGUGAAACUUCUUAGAGAAACAUAUUGUGUACAUUAUAAAUAAAUUGGAGACUAGAAGACAGGUAUUGAAUUAAAAUUUUCGAUAUUUAAAAAUCUUUUCGUUCUAAAUAUGUGAAAAUUUUGAAGCUUGAAUGUAGGAAAAUAAAUAGUUACGAUUUUACCUGAGCGAAUUAUCUUGAAUUUAUUUUUAUUUCAAACGUAUGCACCUUAUAUUUCAAAAUAAAAAUAGACUCAAAUUUUGGAUGAACUGUAAAUAAUUAUAGCAAUAAUCUUACAUAAUUUUAAUCGAUAUAUUAAUUUAUUAAAAAUAUGGAUUCUAUUUUUGUCGGUUAAAUUAGCAUCUUUUAAAUAUAUUAUGUUGACUUAUAACCUUUCGAUUGGUCAUUUCAAGUUAGCUAAAGAUUUCUUGGAAGAGCAUCAGCGAAGAAGAAUAGUCAUUGGAGAGUAAUUAUUUCUAUCUAUACGACCGGACUUCACAGGUAAAGGUCGCUUGUGGGUCCGAAGGUUACCUCCUACCUACUUGAUCACCGUAUCGACACAGAUUUAUCUUGUAAUCCCACUUGCUGCGUUAAAAUUGCACUACUAAUCGCGUAUUAUUCUUUCCUCUUUUGUUUAUCAUAAUCAAUUUUUUUAUUAUUAUCUGCGAAUCUAUAAUGACGUAAAUUCUUAACUUAUAAAAGAUAGACAAACUUAUUAUUUUCUUAUAAUUUUUAGGUAUUUUCAUUAUUUUUCAGUUUCGUAAUGUAUGAGGAUAUGAGAAAAGAAUUUAAAAGUUAUUUCCUUUACAAAAACAUAUUUUACAUUGCAACGUUUGAAUUAGUUGUACAAUAAAUAUAACAUGCUAAAUUGAACAUUUUUGAAUGUAAAAAAAAAUAAUGGAAAAAGUAAUGUUAUUAUCAACAGAGUUACGAGAUUUCAUAAUGACAUUGUCAAAAUAUACAAUCACUAUGUUAUUCAUAAGGAAGAAUAGUAUUUUAUUUAUUAACAAUCUAAUUGCAGAGAAACCUGCAAAUAUGUAUUUUACAGUAUUUAAUUUUAUGAAGGAACGUGCACAGAUUGAUUCGAUGUGGGCGAGUCAACGUUUCGGAUUUCAUGCAUCGUUAUCGACGAAAGGAUAACACAAAGCUAAAUACUAAAAAUUCAUAGCAACAGCUAGACUUCGUCAACCAUCCGUGGGUUAGAGUUCAUAACCUCUUCUAACCUUUACCUUUCCUUUGCCUCCUUCCCCCCCGUGCCUAACCCCACCGCUCACCUUUAUAGCCACUCGACAAUACAU
This is a long non-coding RNA of Bombus terrestris (buff-tailed bumblebee), 1509 nucleotides long. RefSeq lists it as uncharacterized. The transcript is spliced from 3 exons. The record is from RefSeq and is a predicted model, not a curated record. Lineage: Eukaryota; Metazoa; Arthropoda; Insecta; Hymenoptera; Apidae.